ACACGACCGUACCGCAAACCGACACUGGUGCGCGAGAUGAGUAUUCUAAGGCGCUUGAGAGAACUCAGGAGAAGGAACUCGGCAAAUUGACACCGUAACUUCGGAAGAAGGUGUGCCUUUAGUAGGUGAACCAUUUACUUGGGGAGCCCAAUGAGGUUGCAAAAAAUCGGUGGCUGCGACUGUUUAUUAAAAACACAGCACUCUGCAAACACGAAAGUGGACGUAUAGGGUGUGACGCCUGCCCGGUGCUGGAAGAUUGAAUGAUGGGGUGCAAGCUCUUGAUUGAAGUCCCAGUAAACGGCGGCCGUAACUAUAACGGUCCUAAGGUAGCGAAAUUCCUUGUCGGGUAAGUUCCGACCUGCACGAAUGGCGUAACGAUGGCCACACUGUCUCCUCCUGAGACUCAGCGAAGUUGAAAUGUUUGUGAUGAUGCAAUCUCCCCGCGGAAAGACGGAAAGACCCCAUGAACCUUUACUGUAGCUUUGUAUUGGACUUUGAACAGAUCUGUGUAGGAUAGGUGGGAGGCUUUGAAGUAGGGUCGCUAGAUCUUAUGGAGCCAACGUUGAAAUACCACCCUGGUGUGUUUGAGGUUCUAACCUAGGUCCAUUAUCUGGAUCGGGGACAGUGCAUGGUAGGCAGUUUGACUGGGGCGGUCUCCUCCCAAAGCGUAACGGAGGAGUUCGAAGGUACGCUAGUUACGGUCGGACAUCGUGACGAUAGUGCAAUGGCAUAAGCGUGCUUAACUGCGAGACUGACAAGUCGAGCAGAUGCGAAAGCAGGACAUAGUGAUCCGGUGGUUCUGUAUGGAAGGGCCAUCGCUCAACGGAUAAAAGGUACUCUGGGGAUAACAGGCUGAUACCGCCCAAGAGUUCAUAUCGACGGCGGUGUUUGGCACCUCGAUGUCGGCUCAUCUCAUCCUGGGGCUGUAGCCGGUCCCAAGGGUAUGGCUGUUCGCCAUUUAAAGAGGUACGUGAGCUGGGUUUAAAACGUCGUGAGACAGUUUGGUCCCUAUCUUCCGUGGGCGCUGCAGAUUUGAGGAAGCCUGCUCCUAGUACGAGAGGACCGGAGUGGACACACCUCUGGUGUAUCGGUUGUCACGCCAGUGGCAUUGCCGAGUAGCUAAGUGUGGAAGAGAUAACCGCUGAAAGCAUCUAAGCGGGAAACUCGUUUCAAGAUGAGAUCUGCCGGGGCCUUGAGCCCCCUAAAGAGUCGUUCAAGACCAGGACGUUGAUAGGUCAGGUGUGGAAGCGCAGUAAUGCGUUAAGCUAAC
Molecule: ribosomal RNA, 1270 nt
Filed under: metagenome
Description: bacterial LSU rRNA
Rfam family: Bacterial large subunit ribosomal RNA
Source: RNAcentral